GUGGUAACCUGGUGCAUUGGCGGGCUCCCUGCUUCUGUGCAGCCGACCGCGAGUGCGGCAGGACGCCUCGUUUGGAUUGGAACUUCGGGUGGCUUCGCAUGAUGCGGAGGGCAAUAUUCGGUGGGUCGUAUCGCAUAGUUGGGAACGUGGCAACUCGGCGACCCUACGCUAGUCGCAUGCCGUUCUACUCUCAUCCUCCCCUCGGGCGGGCGAGAGAGGCGGCUUCUUACGACGUCCCGUGCGCCGUCGGUGGCACUUGCGGCCGCACAUGUGCGUGCGUGCAGCCUGCGCCGCCCGUCUGGUCCUCGGGAUCGUUGUGUGCUCACGGAUGCGGUGAAUUAGAUGGGGUCGGGUGUCCCACACGCGGCUCUCGACCGGACGACCGGAACGUGUUUGCGUACGCCGCGGGCGGGCAAACGAUGGAACGGAACGGAAUAAACGACCGUCGGCGUGCGUCCCGAUCUCGCCGUCUCGGCGGAGAGAUGGGCCGCACGCGGGCGUCGUCUCGGAGGGUUUGCUACCUGGUUGAUC
RNAcentral lists this unclassified non-coding RNA (531 nucleotides) under Homalomena rubescens. RNAcentral's name for it is "partial external transcribed spacer". Lineage: Eukaryota; Viridiplantae; Streptophyta; Magnoliopsida; Alismatales; Araceae. The record is from RNAcentral.